GAUGAACGCUGGCGGCGUGCUUAACACAUGCAAGUCGAACGGAAAGGCCCUGCUUUUGUGGGGUGCUCGAGUGGCGAACGGGUGAGUAACACGUGAGUAACCUGCCCUUGACUUUGGGAUAACUUCAGGAAACUGGGGCUAAUACCGGAUAGGAGCUCCUGCUGCAUGGUGGGGGUUGGAAAGUUUCGGCGGUUGGGGAUGUACUCGCGGCUUAUCAGCUUGUUGGUGUGGUAGUGGCUUACCAAGGCUUUGAGGGGUAGCCGGCCUGAGCGGGUGCACGGCCACGACGCCUACGAGAUGCGGCAGUGGGGACUACGGGAGGAAGCAGGGAGGCAUGAUGCAGCAUGGGCGGGUGAGUGAUGAAGGACCGCGGCUUGCAGAAUGCUGGUAUUCGGGAUGUAAAACGCUUUCGGCUGUGACGAAGGGUGUGUGGCUGUAAAGUGUAAAGAAGCACCCUCUAUCCAUG
This 466-nucleotide ribosomal RNA is filed under the name uncultured bacterium. RNAcentral describes it as "partial 16S ribosomal RNA". It matches the Rfam family "Bacterial small subunit ribosomal RNA", at positions 28 to 505 of the family's 1533-position model. The record is from RNAcentral.